AAUAAGCUUUAUGAAAACUGUUUAACCUCAUGACCAUUUAUUAAAUAAUGGGCGUAAAAGUGUUGAGCAAGCAGAGUGGUAUGUUUGAAUCAAUAGAUAAAUGUAGUCUUCAUGAUCUUUCUCAUUUUCGUCCUAUUAAGUGACACUAAAAAUGCUGUUUUACACUCUCCUUUAUAGUGCACAGUCACAACAGGAGCACACAACACUGGAAGCCAGUGGCAGGGCUCUGUCUCCACAAUGCAACGGGGAGAGGCAGGGCUGUUACCAUGGGGAGGUACUGUCGCAAGUCUGCAAUCAGCUUGUCACGGCCAUAGGAUGUCAAGCCUUCCAUCACCACAGAUGGAGGAUAAACUACAUCCCCUCCAGUGACGUGAACCCAUAAUUAAACGCAGAGGCAAUUUCCGCAGCCAACAGCUUCCUUUCCACUGGAAGUUAAAGGAGGGCCACAAAAGGAAACCCAUCCAACGCUGAAAUCCACUGACUGAAGCAAAAGUCCUUUCAAGACUGCAGAGAGAGGCAGGGGGAAAACACGAGACCUGCUCUGACCUUCUCAUGCGUAGGGCAAACACUCCAGCCUUUACAUGCCUCAACAACAAGAAAUACAACACGCCAAGACAAUUCUCAAAACUGCACACACACAAACCCGCUAGAGUCCCCCACGUCAGCACCCCAUAUCCUUUUUUACCCAUUCAGAGUAUGUGCAGAUGUGUGGCUGUAUAAAAACAUGAUUCUGCAUUAUUUUGAUUAGUGCUCAGUCUAAAGUCUCAUACUGUACAAUCGCUUACUGGAGAGAGACGGAUUUUUAUGACAUAUAGUGAUUUGUUCCACAAAUAAAUAAAUAACAAACAAAAAUCAUUAUUUGUGCACCAGAUUUGUUAAAAAAUGCUGAGAAAGUAUUCCUACUAAAACUAUUGUCAUUGUUUAAACAAGUUUGAAGUGUCCAUUGUUGGGCUGUGCGUGGAAGGAUUUGUGCUGACUCUCUCGAUUGUAAACACGUGCUUCUCUGGUAAUCCACCCUAAUCUUUUCUUAAGUUUUAAUCUACGUCUCCAUUUUUUUUUUUUUUUUUUGCUGUUAGCACAGUUCCUCAAAUAUGUGACACCGUGCUCUGCUUUCUGGGACACAGUGAGUCAACCUAAUUUCUAUAUUAGUCCUUAUAUUCUCACAAACCAUGAAAGAAACUCCUUGGAAGAAUGACAAACUCCCAUCUUUCU
This is a long non-coding RNA of Oryzias melastigma (Indian medaka), 1212 nucleotides long. RefSeq lists it as uncharacterized. The transcript has 3 exons. Lineage: Eukaryota; Metazoa; Chordata; Actinopteri; Beloniformes; Adrianichthyidae. The record is from RefSeq and is a predicted model, not a curated record.